AGUGAACGCUGGCGGUAGGCCUAACACAUGCAAGUCGAACGGCAGCACAGUAAGAGCUUGCUCUUACGGGUGGCGAGUGGCGGACGGGUGAGGAAUACAUCGGAAUCUACUUUUUCGUGGGGGAUAACGUAGGGAAACUUACGCUAAUACCGCAUACGACCUACGGGUGAAAGCAGGGGAUCUUCGGACCUUGCGCGAUUGAAUGAGCCGAUGUCGGAUUGGCUAGUUGGCGGGGUAAAGGCCAACCAAGGCGACGAUCCGUAGCUGGUCUGAGAGGAUGAUCAGCCACACUGGAACUGAGACACGGUCCAGACUCCUACGGGAGGCAGCAGUGGGGAAUAUUGGACAAUGGGCGCAAGCCUGAUCCAGCCAUACCGCGUGGGUGAAGAAGGCCUUCGGGUUGUAAAGCCCUUUUGUUGGGAAAGAAAAGCAGCAGGUUAAUACCCCGCUGUUCUGACGGUACCCAAAGAAUAAGCACCGGCUAACUUCGUG
RNAcentral lists this ribosomal RNA (492 nucleotides) under uncultured bacterium. RNAcentral describes it as "partial 16S ribosomal RNA". It matches the Rfam family "Bacterial small subunit ribosomal RNA", at positions 29 to 507 of the family's 1533-position model. The record is from RNAcentral.